RNAcentral lists this ribosomal RNA (460 nucleotides) under uncultured bacterium. Its description in RNAcentral is "partial 16S ribosomal RNA". It matches the Rfam family "Bacterial small subunit ribosomal RNA", at positions 338 to 795 of the family's 1533-position model. The record is from RNAcentral.
CCUACGGGCGGCAGCAGUGAGGAAUAUUGGUCAAUGGGCGUGAGCCUGAACCAGCCAAGUCGCGUGAGGGAAGACGGUCCUAUGGAUUGUAAACCUCUUUAGUCGGGGAGCAAUGCCGGGCACGCGUGCCCGGUGGGAGAGUACCCGCAGAAUAAGCAUCGGCUAACUCCGUGCCAGCAGCCGCGGUAAUACGGAGGAUGCGAGCGUUAUCCGGAUUUAUUUGGUUUAAAGGGUGCGGAGGCGGAUUUUUAAGUCAGGGGUAAAAUGUCCGGGCUCAACCCGGGCCGGCCGUUGAAACUGGGGAUCUUGAGUGGGCGAGAAGUAUGCGGAAUGCGUGGUGUAGCGGUGAAAUGCUUAGAUAUCACGCAGAACCCCGAUUGCGAAGGCAGCCUGCCAAGCCAUGACUGACGCUGAUGCACGAAAGCGUGGGGAUCAAACAGGAUUAGAUACCCUGGUAGUC